CUAACUCUGAGAUUAAAUGCUCUUCAGGUGGGACAGCAGAAAAAAUGGGCCGGAGUUAAGUGAAACAAAGUCAGCCGUGUCGGGGGCAGCAGGAGGCUUCCCUGCUCGCCUUUUCCUCUCAGAACACAGACCAGGUGGGGCAUCUUCUCUCGGAAGAUCCCUCGCUGCUGGGGAGGCAGAAGCUACUAAAAAUGACUUAUGGCUGUUAAACGGUGCACUCACAGGCAAGAGGGACCUGGGGAAUGCACCCGCCAGCCAGGGAGGAGCUCUUUUGCUGUCCUGCUGUCCACAGCCGUUUCCUGGGGUCAUCUGCCGGCUUUGAUAUCUCAGAGGUGGAGUUAUUCCGGUUGGCACUUUUGAGACUGGGAGCUGGGAAGCUGUCGGCUCAUUUACGACUGUGGAGCCCCAAGAUAGGUGCCCCCAGAUCAAGGUUACUUCCUCAUACACCAUAGGGCCUGAGGCUAAGCAUAAAUGUGUCAAACGCCUGUGGGGCGGACUUUGCCUACAGACCAGCCCCCGGGAGAUGCUGACCCUCAGGCCUAGGGCUUCACUGAGUUCAGCCUGCCGGGAAGUAGGUGCUGCCUUGCAGGUUGAAGGGCUUCUGGAGUUUGGGAUCCAACAAGGAGAAUUCAACUAUAGAGUCCCAAAGAGAGAAGGAGUGGACGCUUUGGUAUGUCAAGUGAGAAAGAGGGUUGUGGCCCUGUUGCAGGUGGCUGAUGAGGACAAAAACAGAGUGAGCCCUAGGACUCCAUAGGUCUGGCAAAUGCAGAAACACUCAGGUGGCCCUACUUGUGGAGAUGGCUGCCUGGGGCCUGGGACUUCUGGGCACAAGCAUGGAGGCCCCCCAGCCUGAGGUCCCUCUGGCUGACUGCUCGGAAGAAGUGUGGCCACCAGCAGGAGACGCCCUCCAUAGGAGGAGGGGCAGUGCUGAGCUGGGCAGCAAGCUGGGCUGGUUGACCUCCCCGGCAUGCCUGCCACAGCUGCCCGGGGUGGGCACCACUGCCCACCAUGCAGAAAAAAGCACCACUGACUGUGGCUUCCUGGGAGCACCUCCAAAGCCCCCUAAUAUGCCAGUAGGGCUCAGGGAGGGACCAACAGAUGACUUGGAAUGAUAUUGCAAUUUCUGCCCAGUUUUGUGAGUAGGGUGUCUUGAAACAGAUUUAAUUGCAGUUGGAUAAAUGAAUGCGGCCUUUCUUGUGUCCAAAUACCAUGGAGGUAUCCACAUCUGCCACUUCCAUGGAGAAAGCGCGGGGUCUGGACAGAGCGGCCCACAGUAAAGGCCCUGCAGAGGAGUGUGACCAGAGGGCCCUGAGGGAGUGGACUGACCGAAGACCAUGCGGCCACGCACGGCUCCCGGGUUUGGGUGGAUGAGAGUAGUCCCUGCAGAAGUUUGGGGUCAGGGCUGGUUAACUCCUUCCCCACAACCCCACGACCAGGUUAUGAUGCAAGCAAGUCUCCAUGCAAAUUCUGCCCCAGAGAGACAUGUAAAUCCA
RNAcentral lists this long non-coding RNA (1493 nucleotides) under Equus caballus (horse). RNAcentral describes it as "lncRNA (ENSECAG00000057210.1)". The record is from RNAcentral. Lineage: Eukaryota; Metazoa; Chordata; Mammalia; Perissodactyla; Equidae.